UUCCGUUUUUUUUUCUCAUUUAUUUUCACCCAAACCAACGCCAUCCCCUUUUCUCCCCCCUCAACCCCUCGUCGUCGCCUCUCCGAUUCGCCGACUCGUCUCAUGAACUGAUCUCUCCAUCGCCAUGGAAGAGAUCUCCAAUCUCUUAGACCUCUUCAAGGAUCGCAGUCCCCCUCGCGAUUUCGCUCACCGCUUCCGCUCCGCUCCGAUCAAGUCCGGUCUCUUUCGAUUCCUUGCGAUCCUCGAUUCCGAAGCCCGGCUAGGGUUGGAAUCGUGUAGCGCGUCUCAGAUCGAUGCAGUCAUCUUCGCCGCCAAAUUGCUCGUCGGCUCUUCUCUCUCGAUUUCAGCGGAGAGCGGAGAGUCGUUGGUUUUGGUGAUCCUUGAGAAGUCGGUGGAGUUUUGCCUCUCUAUUCUAGAGAAGCUGAAGUUCGAUGACGCCGAUUUCAGCUUGCAGAACUCAUUACCAUUCGGCGCUGAGGUACUUUGUGACCGAACGUGGAUCGGAAAAUGAGGAUGGAAGCAUUUUUACAUAUCAAAACACCAAAAAAUAGCUCGGUGCCAUCAUCUCCUAUUGUUCUAAUUCAACAAUAGGUCAAGGAUUGUCCGAAUUAGGGCUUGCUUCAAGUCUUCAUCUUGCUUCUUAAUCACUUUCAUCCGUUUAUUAUCGACAACAAAGUGCUUCCUUGCCUUCUUCAACUACUCACGCAUAAUUACAAAAAGAGCAU
RNA transcript from Asparagus officinalis (garden asparagus), 725 nucleotides. RefSeq lists it as uncharacterized. The transcript is spliced from 5 exons. Lineage: Eukaryota; Viridiplantae; Streptophyta; Magnoliopsida; Asparagales; Asparagaceae. The record is from RefSeq and is a predicted model, not a curated record.